Molecule: ribosomal RNA, 428 nt
Filed under: uncultured bacterium
Lineage: Bacteria
Description: bacterial SSU rRNA
Rfam family: Bacterial small subunit ribosomal RNA
Source: RNAcentral
GGGCCCGCACAAGCGGUGGAGCAUGUGGUUUAAUUCGAUGCAACGCGAAGAACCUUACCUACUCUUGACAUCCAGAGAAGCCAGCGGAGACGCAGGUGUGCCUUCGGGAGCUCUGAGACAGGUGCUGCAUGGCUGUCGUCAGCUCGUGUUGUGAAAUGUUGGGUUAAGUCCCGCAACGAGCGCAACCCUUAUCCUUGUUUGCCAGCGAGUAAUGUCGGGAACUCCAGGGAGACUGCCGGUGAUAAACCGGAGGAAGGUGGGGACGACGUCAAGUCAUCAUGGCCCUUACGAGUAGGGCUACACACGUGCUACAAUGGCGUAUACAGAGGGCAGCAAGCUAGCGAUAGUGAGCGAAUCUCAUAAAACUGUUCGUAGUCCGGAUUGGAGUCUGCAACUCGACUCCAUGAAGUCGGAAUCGCUAGUAAUCG